UUUUGAAGCAAUCUGAUAAAAAUUGCAGCAUAUUAUUAUAACAAUUCUAGUUCACUACAAACAGCACAUUAUCAAGAAACUUAUGUUUGAUGGACAGUUUCUUCAAAUAAUUGAAUGCAGUAAAAAAUAAAAAAAAUAACCAUGGAAUAUGUUUCUAAGAAUUCGCAAUCCUUGUUU
Saccharomyces cerevisiae S288C is the source of this 177-nucleotide non-coding RNA. The record is from RefSeq. Lineage: Eukaryota; Fungi; Ascomycota; Saccharomycetes; Saccharomycetales; Saccharomycetaceae.